GAUGAAGAACGUAGCGAAAUGCGAUACUUGGUGUGAAUUGCAGAAUCCCGUGAACCAUCGAGUCUUUGAACGCAAGUUGCGCCCGAAGCCAUCAGGUUGAGGGCACGUCUGCCUGGGCGUCACAUAUCGUUGCCCAAUGCCUAUUGCAGUGCAAUAGGAAUUUCUAGGGCGAAUGAUGGCUUCCCGUGAGCGUUGUUGCCUCGCGGUUGGUUGAAAAUCGAGUCCUUGGUAGGGUGUGCCAUGGUAGAUGGUGGUCGAGUUAGAACGAUACCGAUCAUGUGCAUGCUCCCCAAAAUAUGGCCUCUAUGACCCACACGCGUCUUUUGAUGCUCAUGACGAGACCUCAGGUCAGGCGGGGCUACCCGCUGAAUUUAAGCAUAUCAAUAAGCGGAGGA
This 395-nucleotide unclassified non-coding RNA is filed under the name soil metagenome. RNAcentral describes it as "partial contains 5.8S ribosomal RNA, internal transcribed spacer 2, and large subunit ribosomal RNA". The stretch from base 1 to 122 matches the Rfam family "5.8S ribosomal RNA", at positions 35 to 154 of the family's 154-position model. The record is from RNAcentral.